GCACAAGCGGUGGAGCAUGUGGUUAAUUCGACGCAACGCGAAGAACCUUACCAGGGCUUGACAUCCCCUGACCGCGUAUGAAAGUACGAAUUCACUUCGGGUGACAGGGAGACAGGUGGUGCAUGGUUGUCGUCAGCUCGUGUCGUGAGAUGUUGGGUUAAGUCCCGCAACGAGCGCAACCCCUACGUUUAGUUGCUAACGCGUGAAGGCGAGCACUCUAGACGAACUGCCGUUGACAAAACGGAGGAAGGUGGGAUGACGUCAAAUCAUCAUGCCCCUUAUGUUCUGGGCUACACACGUGCUACAAUGGCCGGUACAGACGGACGCAAAGCCGCGAGGUGGAGCAAAUCCUAAAAAGCCGGUCUCAGUUCGGAUUGCAGGCUGCAAUUCGCCUGCAUGAAGUCGGAAUCGCUAGUAAUCGCAGGCCAGCAUACUGCGGUGAAUACGUUCCCGGGCCUU
Molecule: ribosomal RNA, 459 nt
Filed under: uncultured Pelotomaculum sp.
Lineage: Bacteria; Bacillati; Bacillota; Clostridia; Eubacteriales; Desulfotomaculaceae
Description: bacterial SSU rRNA
Rfam family: Bacterial small subunit ribosomal RNA
Source: RNAcentral